GGAAGGAUCAUUAUUGAAUGAACUUGGUGUGGUUGUUGCUGGCCCUCUCGGGGGCAUGUGCACACCCACCAUCCUCAUCUCUCCACCUGUGCACCUCUUGUAGACCUGGAUAGACUUUCCGAGGCAACUCGGUCGGGAAGAUUGCUGCGCUCUGUGAGCCAGCUUUCUUUGCAUGUCCAGGCCUAUGUUUUUCAUAUACCCCUAUAGAAUGUAACAGAAUGUAUCAUUGGGCCUUGUGCCUAUAAACCUUAUACAACUUUCAGCAACGGAUCUCUUGGCUCUCGCAUCGAUGAAGAACGCAGCGAAAUGCGAUAAGUAAUGUGAAUUGCAGAAUUCAGUGAAUCAUCGAAUCUUUGAACGCACCUUGCGCUCCUUGGUAUUCCGAGGAGCAUGCCUGUUUGAGUGUCAUUAAAUUCUCAACCUUAUUAGCUUUUGUUGAUAAUGGAUUGGAUGUGGGGGUUUAUUUGCUGGCUUCUUCACAGAGAUCAGCUCCCCUUAAAUGCAUUAGCUGGUGCCCCGCGUGGACCAUCUAUUGGUGUGAUAAUUAUCUACGCCGUGGAUGUCUGCAAUCAUAUGGGUUUUGCACUGCUUCUAACCGUCUGUUCAUUCGGACAAUACAUGACAAUUUGACCUCAAAUCAGGUAGGACUACCCGCUGAACUUAAGCAUAUCAAUAAGCGGAGGAAAAGAAACUAACAAGGAUUCCCCUAGUAACUGCGAGUGAAGCGGGAAAAGCUCAAAUUUAAAAUCUGGCGGUCUCCGGCCGUCCGAGUUGUAAUCUAGAGAAGUGUUAUCCGCGCUGGACCGUGUACAAGUCUCCUGGAAUGGAGCGUCAUAGAGGGUGAGAAUCCCGUCUUUGACACGGACUGCCAGGACUUUGUGAUGCG
This 886-nucleotide ribosomal RNA is filed under the name uncultured fungus. RNAcentral's name for it is "eukaryotic LSU rRNA". The stretch from base 628 to 886 matches the Rfam family "Eukaryotic large subunit ribosomal RNA", at positions 1 to 253 of the family's 3401-position model. Lineage: Eukaryota; Fungi. The record is from RNAcentral.